GUCCAUACAGUAUAUACAAAUAAACAUCGAACACAGAAACCAAACCCUAAAUUCAAUUCUCUCCUUUGUUCUUUAUUCUUUUGCGCGAAUUUCGAUUGCGUCCAAACAAAGCGUCGUCGAUAUCGCCUUUCGGUGGAUUUCGCAAUCAGAUCUGCUCAAUUUUUGAUUAUAAGACGUGAAGAGACGUCAUGAUUCUGAGUCAGCCUGAGAUCAGGGUCCUCGACGUUAAGUGCCAUAUCUCCUCUGCGAAAGAGCAGAACAAUUUUCGAGUUUCUGAGUCUGUGCGUGCCGAGGUUUCGGAUUCCGCUGAAACGCCUCGAUUCGAAUCGGGCAUGAGUUUUGCGACUACUAGCAUUGAAGAGCCCACCAUUGAGUUUUUCCCAACUAUACGUUCAGGGAGCUUUGCUGACAUUCGGGGCCGAGAGACCAUGGAGGAUGAACACAUCUGCAUAGACGACUUAUCAGCUCAGUUUCGAUCCGUCAACUUCUCUUUACCAAGUGCUUUCUAUGGAGUCUUUGAUGGCCAUGGCGGACCUGAGGCGUCGCUUUACAUGAAGGAGAACUUGACGAGACUGUUCUUCCAAGAUUCUGUAUUUCCGGAGAUGCCCUCCGUUGCGGACAACUUUUUCUUGCAAGAACUUGAGAACUCUCACCGGAAAGCUUUUGCUUUGGCUGAUCUCGCCAUGGCUGACGAAAGCAUUGUCAGUGGUUCAUGCGGGACAACCGCCUUGACCGCUCUCAUUGUCGGACGACAUCUUCUGGUCGCUAACGCUGGAGAUUGCCGUGCAGUGCUAUGCCGGAGAGGAGUGGCUGUUGACAUGUCUUUCGAUCACAGGUCAACAUAUGAGCCUGAGCGUAGGCGAAUAGAGGAUCUAGGAGGGUACUUUGAGGAUGGGUACCUCAACGGGGUCCUUGCUGUCACACGUGCCAUUGGGGACUGGGAGCUCAAGAGUCCUUUCACUGGCUCCUCUUCGCCUCUGAUUUCAGACCCAGAUAUUCAACAGAUUGUUCUUACAGAGGACGACGAGUUCUUGAUUUUGGCAUGUGAUGGUAUAUGGGAUGUAUUGUCAAGCCAGAAUGCAGUGAGUAACGUAAGACAAGGACUGAGAAGGCACGGAGACCCGAGACAAAGCGCAAUGGAACUUGGGAAAGAAGCAGCAAGGCUUAACUCAUCAGAUAAUCUGACGGUUGUGGUCAUCUGCUUCUCCUCGGUUCCGUCUCCACCUCAACAACCGCAGAGGAGAAGGUUAAGGUUCUGUGUUUCUGAUGAAGCUCGAGCUCGGUUACAAGCGAUGCUUGGAGGCGACUGAAGCCUGUCUUUUUUGGCAGUAUAUAUAAAGAGUGAUCGGUUUUAGACCGGUCCAGUGAUUAUUUCUCUGAUUUGUGAUUGGUUUCAGUGAGUUCAAAAUAAAAGGACUUUUACAGAGGUAGAGAGGUUUUGUCUGAGAACAUGAGGAUUGUAUCUUUGGUACAUGGUUCCAACAAGAGAGAGUAAUUGAAGAAUCUCUCUCCCAUAUCUGUGGAAGUUGAGAGUGUAUGUGUGGACUGUGGAAGAGUUUGGGGGUUUAUCUGAAAAGUUUCAAUCCUAACCUUAUGUCAUUGCUUCUCAUCAUCUCUAUCUUUAUCUCUUUAUCUUCUUUUCCUCCAUGAAUCUUCAUGUCCAUAUAUUUUCUACUUUUUAAAAUAUUUGUCCGUCUUUUUAUGAAUGAAAAUGAAGCAAAAAAUGAUUCAAGUAUUUAUUUUGAUAAUUUUGCAAAUAAUUUUCGAAUAUUUCGUGGUACAUGAGAUUCUGGAAACUAAAGUAUGUACUGAACCAACAGGUUGAUAAAUUUUCCAUAAUUCAGAGGAAUUAUUCUCAUAAUAUAUGGUCAAUUGUGGAAAUAUUUAAUAUUAUUUGUGAUUAUAAAAAUAAAAAAGGUCUGAAGCCUCUCUCUCUCGCUUUAUACAUUUCGCCGGCUCUGUUCAUCUCUACAAAGAGCCAACCAAGUUUCUCUCUCUCUAACAAAAAAAUGGCGAUGGCGAAUUUAGCAAGAAGGAAGGCUUAUUUUCUCACC
This is an RNA transcript of Brassica oleracea var. oleracea, 2054 nucleotides long. It is a transcript of the gene named probable protein phosphatase 2C 13, with no coding region annotated. The transcript has 3 exons. NCBI's taxonomy places the organism in Eukaryota, Viridiplantae, Streptophyta, Magnoliopsida, Brassicales, Brassicaceae. The record is from RefSeq and is a predicted model, not a curated record.